Molecule: ribosomal RNA, 433 nt
Filed under: uncultured Adlercreutzia sp.
Lineage: Bacteria; Bacillati; Actinomycetota; Coriobacteriia; Eggerthellales; Eggerthellaceae
Description: partial 16S ribosomal RNA
Rfam family: Bacterial small subunit ribosomal RNA
Source: RNAcentral
ACGGAAGGCAGCAGUGGGGAAUUUUGCGCAAUGGGGGAAACCCUGACGCAGCAACGCCGCGUGCGGGACGGAGGCCUUCGGGUUGUAAACCGCUUUCAGCAGGGACGAUGACGACGGUACCUGCAGAAGAAGCUCCGGCUAACUACGUGCCAGCAGCCGCGGUAAUACGUAGGGAGCGAGCGUUAUCCGGAUUCAUUGGGCGUAAAGCGCGCGUAGGCGGCUGUCUAAGCGGAACCUCUAACCCGAGGGCUCAACCCCCGGCCGGGUUCCGAACUGGACGGCUCGAGUGCGGUAGGGGCAGGCGGAAUUCCCGGUGUAGCGGUGGAAUGCGCAGAUAUCGGGAAGAACACCGAUGGCGAAGGCAGCCUGCUGGGCCGUCACUGACGCUGAGGCGCGAAAGCUGGGGGAGCGAACAGGAUUAGAUACCCUGGUA